AUUUAACAGGGGAAGUUUUAAUGUUUUAAUGUAUUACAUGAAAAAACACAUUACGGUAAAAUACAUUACAAUAUUCUUCCUAGAAUUGGUUCAACAAAAUUUGCUGGAUAAAGAGCAAAAAAACAGAACAUAUAAUACAUCCAGAACCAAACUACCAGAACCAAGUUACUUCACUUUGGUUCAACAAAAUUUGCUGGACAAAGGGCAAAAAAACAAAACAUAUAACACAUCCAAGUUCUAAAACAAAUACAACACAAUAUAAAAUCUAAAAUUCAAAGUUUUAAAGUAAUAAACAUCCACAACUACAAAUCCAUAACAUAAUUCUACAAUUUAAAGCUCAAAUUUCCAGCCACUAGUGCUAAAGACUAAACUCUGAAUCAUCCACUUCAUUUGAUUGUUGCUCAAUCAUCCAACUUUCAUCAAUCAAAUGCUCUGCAGAAAGUAUUGCUUCCUCUGGAAUUCCAUCUACAAAAAAUGUGUAAAUUAUAAACAUAAUGAACAACACAACCAAUUAGUGAUAAAUUGAUAAUACAGGACAUUAUUAAUCAAGAAUUCAUAAGAUUAAGAUUUUGAAGAGACAUUAUUAAUCAAGAAAAUUACAGAACAUUAACUUUGAAUUCUUAACAAGAACAUUAUUAAUCAUGAAUUGGAGGGUACCGGAUUUUAUCUGGCCCUCCAAUUAAUUGGAAGAAGCAUGCGAGAGGCUGGCAAAGAACAAAAGAGGAUUUGAAUAAGGAACAAACUGCUAUUGAAAAUGUAGCUAAGAGCCUUUGCUGGGAAAAUAUAAAAGAGAAAGGUGAUAUUGCUAUCUGGCAAAAGCCUAUUAAUCAUUUGAACUGUAAAACAAAUCAAAAACUCUCUCAGAGUCUACCUUUCUGCCCAGUUCAAGAUCCAGAUAAAGCUUGGUUCGUGUUACUUUUAGUUUAAACCAAAUUUAACAUUAUGUAUUUUCAUUUUGUCCAUGCUCUGUCAGAAAAUAACCCAGUCGAAGCUCAACUCAGCAAAACAAAACAAAAUAUCCUCAGCCCUCGAAUGUCCAAAAGAUAAGAUGAAUAAUGAAUCAAAAGGGAUGAGGCCAAAGCAAAAAAGAUGCAGUUUUUUUUCCCUCUAGUACCAACUUUUUAUUAACACAACCCCACAACCACGAACUAAAACAUAAUUAAUUAAUACAAAUCAAGUCCAAUACCACUUUUUUAUUAACACAACCCCACAACCACAAACUAAAACAUAAUUAAUUAAUACAAAUCAAGUCAAAAAAGUACCUAAGUGCAUCAAUAACAAAAAAAGUUGCAAACUUUUGAUGAAUUAAAUAAAUAACAAAGAACUAACUUUUUGCUUACCAGAAGAAAUGGAUCCAAGAAACCACAAACGAACCCAGCCGCGACUGAGGUGGAUUUCAACCCUUUUGCUGGCCGCGAUAGAGUGAGAGAUGAGACGUGUGAUGCUGAAUUGCUGAUGAGUGAUGAACCGAACAAAGCCUCACCGUGAAGGAGAGUUGAAGAGAGAGUGAGAGAGAUUAAGUGAGGACUGAGGACUGAGGAACGAGUCACGGCUCACGGGUGAGAGAGAUUGAGAGAGGAACGGAUUAUGGAUGAGACUUGAGAGAUUGAGAGGAGAAAUUACAAAUUUACAAUAGAGUUCAAUACUUCAGUUGAAGGAGAAAUUUCGAGAGAGGAACGAGAGAGAUUGAGAGAUCUAGGGUUCACUUUUGCUUUUUU
RNAcentral lists this long non-coding RNA (1718 nucleotides) under Citrus x clementina. RNAcentral's name for it is "Citrus clementina (C. clementina) long non-coding RNA (CCLE_LNC000271)". Lineage: Eukaryota; Viridiplantae; Streptophyta; Magnoliopsida; Sapindales; Rutaceae. The record is from RNAcentral.